AGUGAGAUAACUGGGUCAAAUGGUGGAUCUAGUCCAAGUUUUUUGAGGAAUCUCCAUACUGCUUUCCAGAGUGUUUACACCCAUUUGCAAACCCACCAGCAAU
This 103-nucleotide microRNA precursor is filed under the name Marmota monax (woodchuck). The record is from RNAcentral. Lineage: Eukaryota; Metazoa; Chordata; Mammalia; Rodentia; Sciuridae.